AUGUGCUGGCAAUACCAAGAGGAUUGCCCACACAUUUGAGCUGUGUGGCAUCCUUGUCUCUUAUCGUGCCACAUCAAUUAUUAGAUAUAUUUUAUUGUAUUUAUCUAAUAUCUUCCUAAUUUUUUUCAAAGAUUUGAUUAUUUUUUUUUAUAGAACUUAUUAUGGAAAAUUUUCCAUCCAUCGUGAUUGUCUUUGCCAGGUCAUUAAGCAUAUCAAAGUGGAUGACAACUGUGUCAUAAAUGAAAAAAAUUAUAGCACUCAAUAUAAAGGGUUAUCCGUCUCAAACCAGAGUCGGAGAGAAAAUUCAACAUUCUGUGACUCUAUAUUUCUUCUUUUCUCAUCGAGAGCAAUGACAUGUGUUUCUCUAAAUACUGAUUAAGUUCAGAAGCUUAAGCUCUAUUCGACCCUAGCUCAUUGAGGGAAUUUUAUUUUUUUCUGCACAUUGAUAUCCCUUCACCAAUAAAUUGUUCAUUUUUAUUUCUUUACUGAGUUUUAGUUUGUUUUCGUUCAAUCAGAAUUGACAAAGGCAGUCGUACAUGGUAGAUCAUCAGUUUUAUUCCCAAGAGCUAGAUCAGUUGAUGUUGCGUGCCUCUAAAGGAGUUAAAGAUAUUCAAGAAAUGAUGGUAUCUACCAUAAGGAGAGUUCAAAACAAAAAUUUGUACUUAAUAGCCAAUAACCCUAAAUAUAAAAAUACUACAUUUGCUUGGCAUCUUAUUCACUAUUGAAUAAUACCCUUUUUGAUUCAAAGGCAAGAGAUGAGAUCCACCACAUCAAAUGGUGAACACUAGGGACACAUGAUGUUCAUUCAAGUUGCCUCUGCUUGGGUGUGACCCAAACUGAAGGAAACUUGAAAGAAAAGUAGGAGGCAAAAGGGAGCAUGGGGUUCGAUCUGGCCAUCCUCAACAUGGUAGAUACCUAUAUCACAAGGCUUACUUGUUUGAGGAUGUAAAUCAUUUGUAAAGUAAAUAGAAUUACCAUGUACUCCUGGGCUCUCAAUAGUUGAACUUUUUAUUGUGGUUCUCUUCCAACUUGUAUAACAAAAAAAUGAAGGUUAUAUAAUGAGCAUAAGUAUCCCAAAGAGUCAAUAAAGGCACAACUUCCAGAAGAAAUAUGGUCAAGGACUCUGAAACAGAUCUCUGGAUGCUUUUGCCACAUAAGUUUGAAGGAUAGAGAAGUUAUAAAAUAGGAAGCAUGUGCCAAUGGAAGACAAGAUUUUUCAAGUGGUGUUAUACAGAAGCAUGCAUGGAAAUGGGCUUAGGUAAGAUAAAUGCUACAGACAUCACAGGACAUUAUGGUACAAUGGACAACAUAUCUUCAGGAAGUAGCUCAGCUUCACAGGACAUGUUACUUCAUUUUAAAAGGGAGCCAUAUGGUGUUGAACCUCCAAGAUACCAUUUAUAUAGGGAAUAAUAACUAUAUCUUGAUGGAUCAGAGGUAGGGAGGAGUGUGCAGUACAGAAAAUACAAGGUGGCUUCAGGAUAUUUCAUGGUAGUACAUGUUGGAGUUUUUCGAUGAUCAUUUUGGAAUCUAAGCUGUAAUCUGAAUCUGUCCCAGUGUUAGAGAGAGAGAGAGAGAGAGAGAGAGAAGGAACAAGAAGUGGGGUGAGAGAGAAAGAUAGUUUUGGGGUAUUGAAAGACUCUUGUUGUACAGGGUUUAGAUUGAUUUCCUUAGUUACCUAUUGUAACUAUCCAAUCUAGCUAAUUCCUUGUAUAUCUAAACUCUUAUCACACAUGAUACAUUGUUAUCCUUCCAUAAGUAGGAAGGUGUAGUCGGCUAGGAUAUUUGGACUUGAGGGUAUAUAUGUCAUUUCAAUAAUGUAUUAUUUUAAAUCAAAUAAAGUCCAAAGUUUGAUUGAGUAAAAAA
Macadamia integrifolia is the source of this 1863-nucleotide long non-coding RNA. RefSeq lists it as uncharacterized. The record is from RefSeq and is a predicted model, not a curated record. The transcript is spliced from 3 exons. NCBI's taxonomy places the organism in Eukaryota, Viridiplantae, Streptophyta, Magnoliopsida, Proteales, Proteaceae.